UGUGUAUGUGUAACUGCAAGGGACAUAUCCUCUGGUUUACCACCGCUAUUGGACCACCGUGAACCACCAUAAAACCGCCACCAUCAGAACCUUCGGCUAUCACCGUGGCUCCCUCCAUUCCCGCGUCUGGACCGUCGGCACCGAGGUAGAAGACAGAUUCCACCUCUUGGGCCACCGCGUGAGAGAAGAUGAGGAUGAGGGUUUUUCACCUCUUGGGAUUAAUCCCCUUUUCUCUUCCUUGUUUUUUUAUUAAAUGGAGGGGGUGCCGUGAAACCCCUCCAAAUUAACCUCUUUCAUUUCUUUUUUUCUUUUUUAUUUUUGUUUUAUUUACUCAAGUAAAUUUAUUUAUUUAUUCUAUUACAUCAAUUAAUU
This 372-nucleotide long non-coding RNA is filed under the name Lupinus angustifolius (narrow-leaved blue lupine). Its description in RNAcentral is "long non-coding RNA (LANG_LNC003136)". Lineage: Eukaryota; Viridiplantae; Streptophyta; Magnoliopsida; Fabales; Fabaceae. The record is from RNAcentral.